This 497-nucleotide ribosomal RNA is filed under the name uncultured bacterium. Its description in RNAcentral is "partial 16S ribosomal RNA". It matches the Rfam family "Bacterial small subunit ribosomal RNA", at positions 28 to 507 of the family's 1533-position model. The record is from RNAcentral.
GAUGAACGCUGGCGGCGUGCCUAAUACAUGCAAGUCGAGCGAACGGACGAGAAUUUUGCUUCUCUGAUGUUAGGGGCGGACGGGUGAGUAACACGUGUAUAACCGACCUAUAAGACUGGGAUAACUUCGGGAAACCGGAUCUAAUACCGGAUAAGAUUUUGAACCGCAGGGUUCAUAAGAGAAAGACGGUCUUGCUGUCACUAAUAGAUGGUUCCGCGCUGCUUUAGCUAGUUGGUAAGUACACGGCUUACCAAGGCUACGAUGCAUAGCCGACCUGAGAGGGUGAUCGGCCACACUGGAACGGAGACACGGUCCAGACUCCUACGGGAGGCAGCAGUAGGGAAUCUUCCGCAAUGGGCGAAAGCCUGACGGAGCAACGCCGCGUGAGUGAUGAAGGUCUUCGGAUCGUAAAGCUCUGUUAUUUGGGAAGAACAUAUGUGUCAGUAACUGUGGACAUCUUGACGGUACCUAAUCAAAAAGCCACGGCUAACUACGUG